AUGAAAAAUAUCUCACAGUGGAUUCUGCCGGAGUUAUUUCCUCUCCGGACAUUAUGCUAUGAAACAAUAAGCACACAUACUUUCUUACUGACAGACCAAACUGGCAUAGGCUCAUGCAGGAAGGGGACUGGGAACAUGUGGCUGGAGAUAAAGGGGGCACCCACAGCAGCUGACAUUCUCUACUGUUGCAGGAGGUUAACAUCCCCUAUCCUUUGAUGAUUUACAGCAGCAGUUCAUGCAGAAUUGUGUGACUAACAGUAUGGAGCAGAUCCAGCCUCAAUGGACAUGAUGCAUAUUUCCUUCAACCUCUGCAGCUCUUUGCCAAGUGCACUUCAAUUAUGAUUUGCAUCCUCAUUGUAAGUCCUGUCUUUCAUGUUUCCUGAAUAAAAACAAUCAUUGUUUGACA
This 406-nucleotide long non-coding RNA is filed under the name Cyanistes caeruleus (blue tit). RNAcentral describes it as "lncRNA (ENSCCEG00000012352.1)". Lineage: Eukaryota; Metazoa; Chordata; Aves; Passeriformes; Paridae. The record is from RNAcentral.